UUCCUACGGGGGGCAGCAGCAAGGAAUCUUCCGCAAUGGGCGAAAGCCUGACGGAGCAACGCCGCGUGUGGGAUGACGCCUUUCGGGGUGUAAACCACUUUUCUCAGGGAAGAAGCACUGACGGUACCUGAGGAAGAAGGACCGGCUAACUACGUGCCAGCAGCCGCGGUAAUACGUAGGGUCCGAGCGUUGUCCGGAGUUACUGGGCGUAAAGCGCGCGCAGGCGGCGGUGUAAGCAUGGCGUGAAAGCCCCAGGCUUAACCUGGGAGGGUCGUCGUGGACUGCACCGCUUGAGGGCGGUAGGGGCUGGUGGAAUGCCUGGUGUAGUGGUGAAAUGCGUAGAGAUCAGGCGGAACACCCGUGGCGAAGGCGGCCAGCUGGGCCGUCCCUGACGCUGAGGCGCGAAGGCGUGGGGAGCGAACGGGAUUAGAUACCCCAGUAGUC
Molecule: ribosomal RNA, 444 nt
Filed under: uncultured bacterium
Lineage: Bacteria
Description: bacterial SSU rRNA
Rfam family: Bacterial small subunit ribosomal RNA
Source: RNAcentral